Nicotiana tabacum (common tobacco) is the source of this 1808-nucleotide RNA transcript. It is a transcript of the gene named putative F-box protein At1g47765, with no coding region annotated. Lineage: Eukaryota; Viridiplantae; Streptophyta; Magnoliopsida; Solanales; Solanaceae. The record is from RefSeq and is a predicted model, not a curated record.
CAACAAUAGAAAUCCUAGGAAUUCCAAUAAAAAUCAAUAGAGAAGAGGAGCUUCACAAAAGGCGAAUCUUUUGAAUCAAUCAAAGCAAGAGAGAAGAGAAGCUCCAAAGAUGAGACGGAAGUCAAAUCGCCAAGACAAGAAGAAAAUAUCAGUAACUUCCGAUCGCCAUGGAGAAGCAAAUAGAGAAGAAGCGACACAAAGGGCAAGUCUUUUCGAGCAAAGCAAUAGAGAAGCGACGCAAAAGGCAAAUCUUUUCAAUCAAAUUAGCAUUAGAGACGCGACACAAAAGCUUUGUCUUUUCAGAUGCCAACAGAAGAAGAAGAAGAAAUCAGUACCUCCCAAUCAAAUUCGCAAAGGGAAGAGAGUUGUGAAUCAGUCGAAGUAUACAAAGCUGAUGGAUAUUGACGAUCAGGUAUUCUUUCUUUGAAACAACAAAAGUAGCAGUCGUUGGCCUUGGCUGGUCUUCUCUACCAAAUCAAGGACAUGGAAAUUCACUUCCAAGAGGAAAUCAUUAUGGACAUUCUUAGCAAGUUACCUGUGCAGUCUCUUCUUCGAUUCAAAUGUGUUUCACGAUUUUGGAAGAAAUUAAUUUCUGAGCCUUACUUUAUGAUGAAGCAUCUCAAUCAUGCCAAGAAUAACCAAAAUUCUCAAAAAUUUCUUGUUUGCCAACUAUGCCCUAAGGAUGGUAUGAUUUCCUUUUACUGUUCUUCUUUAUCGUCAGUUCAACCGGUCGAGGACGUCCAAAGACUUGAUUGUCCUUCAGACUUUAAACCAUGGCGAUGCGGAAUCUUUUGUUGUUUCGAUGGCUUGUCUCUUAUUGGGGUUCAUGAUUAUCCUGACAUAGAUCUCAUAUGUUUGCUAUGGAACCCCUCCACAAGAGAAUCAAUAGUACUUCCCAUGCAGAAUGUCCAGUGAAGGGAAAUCAUGCUUACGGAAUGGGAUAUGACUCAACUAGUGAUGAUUAUAAGAUCCUUAAGAUUGACGUUGACAUUGAUGAUGGUCGCAAAGUAUCUAGUGAAAUUCUCGCGCUGAAAAAUGUCUCCCGGAGAAAAAUUGAUAGACAUCCUAGCGACAUUUGCUAUGUGUUGUCUGGUGGGAACUCUUUGGCAUUUGUACAUGGAGCAUUUCAUUGGCUGGGUUUUUCACAAAAUUAUUCAAUGGUUUCAUUUAGUAUUUCAAAUGAGGUGUACAAAGAGAUACAAUUGCCGGAGCAAAUUUGUUUGGGAUCGAUGUACAACAAGUUUGACGUUUCAGUAUUGGAAGGAAUGCUUUGUGUUUAUUCUACUUCUAUUCGGAAGCAGAGCACCUUUUCGUUUUGGCUAAUGAAAGACUAUGGUGUCAAAGAAUCUUGGACUAAAUUAUUUACUAUACGAGAUACCGAGAUUUAUUUAGCCAUACCAAAAUAUAGGUUUGCCGAUGGUGAAGUGUUGCUUCGCUGCAUACACGCUGAGAGUUGUGGUCCUUUAUUUAGGACAUCCAAAGGACCAUUUGGAUUGUGGCCUCAAGGUGAUAUCUUUCAGGAUGGAUUCGUUUUUACGGAAAGCUUGAUCUCUCCAAAAUUACUUACCUAGUAUUUGCUUGUCUGUUUGGGGAGUAUUUGCUUAUUUAUGAUCGGGACACUUUUCUCCUUUUUCAGAAAUCAUGUUACAUCUUGUUAUUCUUAUAAGUUUAUGUAUUGCUAGCUAAGUUUUGGUACCAAAAUGUAGGGUGUCAAUGGUUAUCUGAAAACGGAUCAAACCGUUCGACCUGAUUGUUAGGUUUUUCCAAUGAAAUUGUAGGUUUUAAUAUAAAUUCAUAAUUGUACCAAA